Molecule: non-coding RNA, 91 nt
Organism: Podarcis lilfordi (Lilford's wall lizard)
Lineage: Eukaryota; Metazoa; Chordata; Lepidosauria; Squamata; Lacertidae
Source: the annotation of a GenBank genome assembly
GCUUCUCUCUCUCUCUCUCUCUCUCUCUCUCUCUCUCUGUGUGUGUGUGUGUGAGAGAGAGAGAGAGAGAGAGAGAGAGAGAGAGAGAGAG